UGGGGAAUUUUGGACAAUGGGCGCAAGCCUAAUCCAGCCAUGCCGCGUGCGGGAAGAAGGCCUUCGGGUUGUAAACCGCUUUUGUCAGGGAAGAAAUCUUCUGAGUUAAUACCUCGGGAGGAUGACGGUACCUGAAGAAUAAGCACCGGCUAACUACGUGCCAGCAGCCGCGGUAAUACGUAGGGUGCAAGCGUUAAUCGGAAUUACUGGGCGUAAAGCGUGCGCAGGCGGUUUUGUAAGACAGAGGUGAAAUCCCCGGGCUCAACCUGGGAACUGCCUUUGUGACUGCAAGGCUUGAGUGCGGCAGAGGGGGGAUGGAAUUCCGCGUGUAGCAGUGAAAAUGCGUAGAUAUGCGGAGG
Molecule: ribosomal RNA, 359 nt
Filed under: uncultured bacterium
Lineage: Bacteria
Description: partial 16S ribosomal RNA
Rfam family: Bacterial small subunit ribosomal RNA
Source: RNAcentral